This is a transfer RNA of Atta cephalotes, 76 nucleotides long. It matches the Rfam family "tRNA". Rfam says of the family: Transfer RNA (tRNA) molecules are approximately 80 nucleotides in length. Their secondary structure includes four short double-helical elements and three loops (D, anti-codon, and T loops). The record is from Rfam. NCBI's taxonomy places the organism in Eukaryota, Metazoa, Arthropoda, Insecta, Hymenoptera, Formicidae.
ACCUCAGUGGUCGAGCUGGCUAAGACACUCUUCUCGGAAAGUUGAGAGAUCUCAGGUUCAAAUCCUGGUUGAGGUA